This 381-nucleotide ribosomal RNA is filed under the name uncultured bacterium. RNAcentral's name for it is "bacterial SSU rRNA". It matches the Rfam family "Bacterial small subunit ribosomal RNA", at positions 28 to 420 of the family's 1533-position model. The record is from RNAcentral.
GACGAACGCUGGCGGCGUGCUUAACACAUGCAAGUCACGGGGGCCCGCAAGGGCAACCGGCGAACGGGUGCGUAACACGUGAGCAAUCUGCCGAUCUCUGGGGGAUAGCCGGCCCAACGGCCGGGUAAUACCGCAUACGCUUGUUGGGGGGAUUCCCCUGAUGAGGAAACCUCCGGGGGAGAUCGAGGAGCUCGCGGCCUAUCAGCUAGUUGGCGGGGUAAUGGCCCACCAAGGCANCGACGGGUAGCUGGUCUGAGAGGAUGGCCAGCCACAUUGGGACUGAGAAACGGCCCAGACUCCUACGGGAGGCAGCAGUGGGGAAUCUUGCGCAAUGGCCGAAAGGCUGACGCAGCGACGCCGCGUGUGGGAGGACGCCUCGGU